This 418-nucleotide ribosomal RNA is filed under the name uncultured bacterium. RNAcentral's name for it is "partial 16S ribosomal RNA". It matches the Rfam family "Bacterial small subunit ribosomal RNA", at positions 363 to 773 of the family's 1533-position model. The record is from RNAcentral.
UUUGGACAAUGGGGGCAACCCUGAUCCAGCCAUCUCGCGAGUGCGAUGCAGGCCUUCGGGCUGCAAAGCACUUUUGGCAGGGAAGAUAAGGCUCUGGCCAACACCUGGAGGUGCUGACGGUACCUGCACAAUAAUCCUCGGCUAACUUCUUGCCAGCAGCCGCGGUGAUACGUAGGGUGCAAGCGUUAAUCGGAAUUACUGGACGUAAAGCGUGCGCAGGCGGUUCGGCAAGAAGGAUGUGAAAUCCCAGGGCUUAACCUUGGAACUGCAUUCUUAACUGCCGGGCUAGAGUAUGUCAGAGGGGGGUAGAAUUCCGCGUGUAGCAGUGAAAUGCGUAGAGAUGCGGAGGAAUACCGAUGGCGAAGGCAGCCCCCUGGGAUAAUACUGACGCUCAUGCACGAAAGCGUGGGGAGCAAAC